Molecule: long non-coding RNA, 683 nt
Organism: Sarcophilus harrisii (Tasmanian devil)
Lineage: Eukaryota; Metazoa; Chordata; Mammalia; Dasyuromorphia; Dasyuridae
Exons: 3
Source: RefSeq, a predicted model, not a curated record
AUUUCCUGGAGAAGAUGGAUUGUGGUCAAGUUUUAGAAGACAGAGAGAUGUAGAUUGGAAUCCAGGCAGUGAGAGCCAAGCACAUGGAAAAUGUCUUAUCCAGUUUUGAGUUGUUCUUCACUAAUCUACCCCAGUAAUUCUCUUAGCCCAGAGCUCUCCAAGGUGAUUAUGCUCAGCUUUUCUACUGCAAAGACAUGCUGAUUUAGAAUAAUAAUAGAAUAGACUCGAAGAAUGCAAGAGCUGGAAGGAAUGUAGGAUGUCAGAACUGGAAAGGACUUUGGAACAUAGAAUUUCAGAGUCUUUGCAGAUUUUUCAAGCAGUGUGACUCUUAGAGAACCUGACUUCCAGUGGAAGAAGGGAGCUUACCAUCAAGUAACCACUGAAUCACACUCCAUAUCGGGAAAACCUACUUCGUGGAGAGUCUGGGAAUCACAAAGGCCUAUUCGAAUUUGUCAAACAUCAGUCAGGACAGCGGUAGUCACAGGGUGGAUUUGGAGAGGAGGAAAAUCAGCAUGAUGGAGUACUGAGGAUGCUGGAUGCAACACAGGGGAAUAUCUUCCAGCUCUGGUGCUUAGUAGUUAUUGAGUUUCAGGCAAGUCACCUCACCUGCAUACAGUCAGUGCUCAAUAAGCUUUCACUAAAUAAAUGAACAAAGUAGUAUACAUUAUCUUCUUUGAGCUUCA